RNAcentral lists this transfer RNA (101 nucleotides) under Nitrososphaerales archaeon. RNAcentral describes it as "tRNA-OTHER". It matches the Rfam family "tRNA". From Rfam's summary of the family: Transfer RNA (tRNA) molecules are approximately 80 nucleotides in length. Their secondary structure includes four short double-helical elements and three loops (D, anti-codon, and T loops). Lineage: Archaea; Thermoproteati; Nitrososphaerota; Nitrososphaeria; Nitrososphaerales. The record is from RNAcentral.
GCCGCCGUAGCUCAGCGUGGUAGAGCAGCUGAUAAUCUAAGCUGAGGCUGUUAAUCCACGCAGAGACCAGUUGGUCGUCGGUUCAAGUCCGACCGGCGGCG